RNAcentral lists this long non-coding RNA (5170 nucleotides) under Daucus carota (carrot). RNAcentral describes it as "long non-coding RNA (DCAR_LNC006395)". Lineage: Eukaryota; Viridiplantae; Streptophyta; Magnoliopsida; Apiales; Apiaceae. The record is from RNAcentral.
UCAACACUUCCAUUUCCAUCUCUGUCCAUGGCAUUGAAGAAUUGGUGUCCCAGAGUUUGAACAUCCGACGGUGCAGCGUAGUAUUGAGACACUACAAAGUUCCGAAGGUUUGCCAUUGCGCAGUCUUGUUGGUACGAGGACAUUCUAACGAUAUAUGAUAACUAUGUUGAAUCUAGGUUUUUUUUUGGGUACGAUGAACUGGAUUUUAACAUGCUUAUUUAUAGACACAUGUCCUCUCAAUUACUCCCUCUGUUAUGAAUUAACAGUCGUUUAAGGUUUUUACACAAUUCUUAAGAAAAAACAACUUUUCAUGUGAACUACGAUUAAUGCUGAAUAAAUUCUCUUUCAUACCCCUGUGUGGUUACUUGAACUAAUGUGAAAUUAAAGCAUUGAACAGGGUUAAUACAGGAAGUGGAAGCAGUGUUUGGUAUUGAAAAAUGAGAACGACUGUUAUUAAAUGACAAGCUAAGUUUUCUAAAACGUCCAUUAAAUCCAAACAGAGGGAGUAUUGAGGGAGUUAGCUAAAGCUUCCUCAAUGUGCGAGUAUAUUUAAAAGUCGCGCAGUUACACGUUGACGAAGUCUCCAUGCUAGCUUGGUCAACUCAAGGAGAUGUGUGUGUAUAAAUAAACAAUAAUACUAAAAACUUGUUCAUCGUAUUUAACAUCAAAUACUAAGCAAGAUAGCUCACAGUCACUAGCAGAUUGAAAAACUCGUAUUCAUUGUUAAAUGUCGUCGUACCAACAAGACUUCGCAAUGGCAAACCUCUGGCACUUUGUAGUGGCUCAAUACUAUGCUGCACCGUGGCAAGCUCAAACUAUGGCACACCAAUUCUUCAAUUCCAUGGACAGAGAUGGAAAUGGAAGUGUUGAUUAUAGUGAGUUCAAGAAUUUCUUAGUUUCCGAAGGCUUUGAAUACUACGCAGGCAGGAAUUUGUUUUCCAAGUUAGAUGGAGACAGAAAUCGGGGACUGGAUUUCUGGGAGAUCAUGACACUUUACUAUAUUCUCAAAUGUGGGAGACCCUUCUGUUUCAGAUGCGACAAUUUUUUGUGGGACGCUUAUUGUGUUUACAAUGAAUGUCGCGGAGGCCCCUGCUAUUUCUGCAGCAACUGUUAUCAAUGCCACCUCCAAGAGCACACAUUUUUUGUUCAGGUUUGUUGUUUGUACAAUUGCGCCCAUUAUUGUUGAUCAUAUAAGUAUUUGAUUGUUCGAUUAUGUUGUAUAUUGAUAAUGCAGCCGACGGGAAGUCCUUUAGUUCAAAGGUCUGAAACGCCUAAUGUAAGUGCAAUGUGUUGUAUAUAUGGUGGUAACUUGGAUUUUUCUGAAGUCGUGUGAACACUUUCAGAUUGAAGUUAUUUGUGGUUCACCAAAUAAUUCAAUCGGAUUAAAUCAGAAAUUCUGCAAGAAGAGAGAAUGUGUUUUGUUGUGUAUUUCAAAUGAACCAUAUCUUUGAAAUGAUCAAUGCAACAUCAAUAUAUAGAUGUCAAUAGACGUGUCUUUUUGAUAAUAGACACAUCUUAAUCCAAAUAGAUUUGUCUAAUGGUAAUAGAAACAUCUUAUCCCAAUAGAUGUGUCUAAUGUCAAUGAACAAAUCUAAUGCCAAUAGACACUUUUUUUCCGAUAGAUAUGUCUAAUGCCAAUGAACAUGCCUCAUAAGCACUAAUAAUCAUAAUAAACUCGAACUAAGCAUACACUCCGUACUCUCCUGACUUGUUCGAUAUAAUAUUAUGAUUACAUUGAUCAACUAGUUAAUUCAAUUACACUAAAAUAACCAACACAAUGACUAUGUAUUCUUCUGGUGGCAAUCCUUCGCAGCCUUCGUCGAACUAUGACAUGGUUGCUGUGAGCAGAGGUCAAAGUGUAUGUUCUGAACCUUUUUGUUCAUAGUUCAGUUUAACCUUAUAUAAAAUCCAUGUAUAAAUAUAUAAUAUAUGUUGAUGUCUUUUAUUUUAGGAAAAGGAUAAGCAUAGCUCAUUGAGGGCAGCGUACAGGGCAUUUGAGUUAGCACUGAGCGUGUUCAACGCGCGGCUGAGGUGGUGAACGCCGGUGCUGCUUCGUGUUCUAUUAUGUGAAUGAGAAUUAGAUCCUCCGUGUGUAUUAUUUAAAUUGUUAAUCACAUGUACUUCCAUUUUUUAGCUAGAUUUACUGCCACACAACCUGUCAAGUGAGCUGUAAUAAUCAUUCUGUCAAAAAAAAAAAAGCUGUAAUAAUUGUUUGUUCUUGUUUGUUACGUAAUGAAAUAUAUAUAUAGUAAUUCUAAUUCAAAAUAUUAAGUACAAAUGAACUAAACUACAAACCAAUACUUUUUAAGGCAAUGGGGAGGUUUGUGCACUUUGGGGACGGACUUCAAGCUUAGGGCUGUAAUUCGAACCGAGCCGGACAAGUUUCGAGCCGAGCCUAAUUCGAGUCAAGUUUAAUCUAGUCGAGCCGAGCCGGCUCGGUUCACUAAUCGAGCUUAAAUCUUUGCUCGAACUCGACUCGGUUAAUUUCACGAGUCGAGUCGAGCCGGCUCGUUUAGCUAAAUGAGCCGGUUUUAACGUGUCGAGCGAGCCACCUCAUAUAAUUUUACACUUAAUCGGGCCCAGAUCUCUACCCGAACUCGGCUCGUUUAAUUUCACGAGUCAAAUCGAGCUAGCUCGUUUAAUUAAACGAGCUGAAACCUUUGCUCGAACUCAGCUCGUUUAACGAGUCGAGGCGAGCCGAGUCCACUUAAACGAGUUCGAGCCGGGCGAGUUCGCGACCCGCCCGCCUCGAAUUAUAACUCUAUUCAAGGUGGGUCUUGAGACCUAGAUGGAGCUUGAUGGACGGGAAUGAGGCCUAGUUAGAAGGGGGUAUACUCAAGUAUUGGCUCUUGAGUUUGUCUUGAGCGUCUCUAGGGACUCUCUAGAGCCUUAGUAAGAUUUUAGUCGACCCGGGAUGAAUUGAGUAGGAUCGGGAGUGGGUUCCAAGUUGGUGAUAUCAUAUGGCAUUAGUUUAUCGUAAUUUGUAUUUAAGGUUUGUAUUAGAUCAGUAGAAUAUAUAUAUAUGUGUGUGUAUCAUGGAUAACUGAUAAAAUAGAAACCAAUGUUGUUUUGGAAACAACAAAUGACUUCCACAAUCACUAUCUAUGACAAUAUAAUCACCUGUUUAUACACUAUUAAUCACUAUUUUAUGUAAUAAAAUCAUUAAUUUUAAUUUAUAAUGAUUGAGAAAAUUUAUCUAUGCUUGCUAUUGGUGGUCGAUUGUUUAUAAUCAAAUAUAGUUGUAGGGGUCCAUGAUAGUAAAAAAAUGAUGAGAUAACGUGUGUGGUGGUGCUAAAUAGUCAUUAGUAGUGGCAAGUUAUGCUCGCAAGUGGCGAUAGGUCAAUCAUGGUUAUAGGGGACAAAGACAACAAUGAAGCGGAUUGAUAAUGUUGCUAGGAGGAUCAUCAAUGUAGUAGAAGUGACGAUGACGAUAAUGCAUGUUGUUUAUAUGUCUAUUUAAUAUGUUUAAUUAUAUUUGUGAGUUCUUUUAUAUAAAAAAUAGUCAUUUUGUAUCAAUUUUCGUAUCCCUAACAUUUUUCUUAAAAUAAUAUAUAGAUGGAUGAUAUUAAUCUUAUUUAUUAUUUUUAUUAUCAGUCAGAUGAUUACACUUAUUAUUUGAGAAUUUUUUUUUAACGAACUAAUUCAGGAUUUAUAUAAUUUUUUCCGUGAUUCUUUCUCUAUAUUGCAUUUAUGAAAAUUUACAUGGACGUAAAGAACCGUUAUAAAUUUGUCAUAAAAUGUUAUACGACACACAAGUGGAAUUUAUUAUACAUAAUAAAAUAGAUAAAUGCCAUUUCUAUGCUAAUGCAACCAUUACGAACUAAUCCAUUUUUGCAAACGAUAUUUCUAUCACGUGAUUAAUAAGAAGAAACAGUUAUUACAACUCGAGACUUAAUAAAUAAUCGUAUCAGAUCGUAGUAAAGGUAGAAAAUAGAGUACAUAUAACCAAGAACUUAGGUUUUACACAUGAUUUACUUAAUUUCUGUCACAUAAUAGAACAGCCACCACCGCCGGAAACUGUGUUGACUAUGUCGUACACCGUCCACGCGUUCAUUCCUAACUCAAAUGCGUCGAACGCUACUCUCAUUUUGCUCCUUAAACCCCUUUCCUGAAAUAACAGAUGUAAAUAAAAUAACGUCAUAAGUCCCUAUAGUAUCCAUCAAUUUCUUAAGGUUCAUUACAGAAAUAUGUGCAAAAAGGCUUAGAACAUACACUAGUACUGCCAUUCACAGCAUCCAUUUCAUAAUUUGGCGAAGAAGCCAUAGUCAUUGCGUUUGCAUUCGGCGUUUCAGACAUUAAAGGAUUGCUCGUCGGCUGCAUCCAACCACAUCAGAGGUAAAACAUCAAAUACCAACAUAAUUAGCAAGUAAAAUACUCCCUCCGUCCCAAUCAUUUGUUUACAUAUGAUUUGAGCAUGGAGAUUAACGAAUAUAUAUAGAGUAGUUGAAAAGAGAAAGAAAAGUGGGUGGAGUGGCGGGACUCAUUCAUUUUUAAUAUAUAAAAGAGAGAUAGUAGAGUAAGAGUAGUGUAAAAAGUGAAAAAAAGUGGGGAAGUGGUGAGACACAUUGAAUAUAUUUGGUAAGUUUAAAAUAUAAUUAAAGAAUUGGAUGGGACACUGAAAAAAGAAACUGUAUAGAAAUGAUUGAGACGGAAGGAGCAAUAUUAUGCUGUUAGAAACAACAAACCUUAACAGAAAAUGAGGGCUCUUGGAGGUGGCAUUGAUAACAAUUGUUGCAGAAAUAGUAGGGGCCUCCGCCACAAUCAUUGCAAACACUAUAAGCGUCCCCCAAAAAAAUGUCGCAUUUGACACAGAAGGGCUUCCUAGAUUUGAUAAUAUAGUAAAGAGUCAUGAUCUCCCAGAAAUCUAAACCUCGAUUCUUGUCUCCGUCUAACGACAUGAACAAGUUUCUGCCAGCGUAGUAUUCAAACCCUUCGGAAACUAAGAAGUUCUUGAACUCACUAUAGUCAACACUUCCAUUUCCAUCUCUGUCCAUGGCAUUGAAGAAUUGGUGUCCCAGAGUUUGAACAUCCGACGGUGCAGCGUAGUAUUGAGACACUACAAAGUUCCGAAGGUUUGCCAUUGCGCAGUCUUGUUGGUACGAGGACAUUCUAACAAUAUAUGAUAACUAUGUUGGACUUAGGUUUUUUUUUGGGUACGAUGAACUAGAUU